GAUCCUGGCUCAGGAUGAACGCUGGCGGCGUGCCUAACACACGCAAGUCGAACGAAGCACUGAGAGUUUGAGAUUUCGGUCAAGAACUUUCUUUGACUUAGUGGCGGACGGGUGAGUAAUGCGUGAGCAACCUGCCUUUCAGAGGGGGACAACAGUUGGAAACGACUGCUAAUACCGCAUGAUAUAUUCGGAUGGCAUCGUCUGAAUAUCAAAGAUUUAUCGCUGAAAGAUGGG
RNAcentral lists this ribosomal RNA (234 nucleotides) under uncultured bacterium. RNAcentral's name for it is "partial 16S ribosomal RNA". It matches the Rfam family "Bacterial small subunit ribosomal RNA", at positions 15 to 229 of the family's 1533-position model. The record is from RNAcentral.